GGCACAGAGAUCUGAGGGCAUGGCUGUCCAAGAAAAAAAUGUAGCCAUUGUUGCCAUCUAUCGACCACAGGUUGAAGAUUGGAGAUCCGUUGGAUAUAGAUCGAGUUAUAGGCAAAAGUUGAUGCAAAAAUGAGGAAAAUUUUACAUUUUCUCAAACAGGGUAUGGAACUUGUUUCCUCGAAUAACUUCUGGCACAGAGAUCUGAGGGCAUAGCCGUCCAAGAAGAAAAUGUAGCCAUUGUUGCCAUCUAUCGACCACAGGUUGAAGAUUGGAGAUCCGUUGGAUAUAGAUCGAGUUAUAGGCAAAAGUUGAUGCAAAAAUGAGGAAAAUUUUACAUUUUCUCAAACAGGGUAUGGAACUUGUUUCCUCGAAUAACUUCUGGCACAGAGAUCUGAGGGCAUAGCCGUCCAAGAAGAAAAUGUAGCCAUUGUUGCCAUCUAUCGACCACAGGUUGAAGAUUGGAGAUCCGUUGGAUAUAGAUCGAGUUAUAGGCAAAAGUUGGUGCAAAAAUGAGGAAAAUUUUACAUUUUCUCAAACAGGGUAUGGAACUUGUUUCCUCGAAUAACUUCUGGCACAGAGAUCUGAGGGCAUAGCCGUCCAAGAAGAAAAUGUAGCCAUUGUUGCCAUCUAUCGACCACAGGUUAAAGAUUGGAGAUCCGUUGGAUACCGACCGAGUUAUACACAAAACUUGGUGCAAAAAUGAGGAAAAUUUUACAUUUUCUCAAACAGGAUGUGGAACUUGCUUCCUCGAAUAACUUCUGGCACAGAGAUCUGAGGGCAUGGCCGUCCAAGAAGAAAAUGUAGCCAUUGUUGCCAUCUAUCGACCACAGGUUAAAGAUUGGAGAUCCGUUGGAUAUAGAUCGAGUUAUAGGCAAAAGUUGAUGCAAAAAUGAGCCGUAUGAAAUUUUCAAAUUUUUUUAUUUUUUUAAUUUUUUAUUAUUUUUUACUUUUUUUUUUGUUUAAAGCAUUAUUGGAGUGAAAAGAAACUCAUUGCAACCAAUUGGCAUUAAAAUAAAUCAAUUUGAAUUUUUUUGCAAAAUUUCUCAAAAAAAUGGCAAGGGGUAAGCCUUAUGAAAUUUUCGAGUUGAAAAUUUUUGUAAAAUUUGUAAAUUUUGUAAUUUUGUAAAUUGAUUUAAAGCACUAUUUAAGUGAAAAGAAACUUAUUGCAACAAAUUCCCAUUAAAAUAUAUCACAUUUUUCAAUUUUGCUACAUUGGUGAAAAAUGAGGAAAAUUUUACAUUUUCUCAAACAGGGUAUGGAACUUGCUUCUUCGAAUAACUUCUGGCACAGAGAUCUAAGGGCAUAGCCGUCCAAGAAGAAUAUGUAGCCAUUGUUGCCAUCUAUCGACCACAGGUUAAAGAUUGGAGAUCCGUUGGAUAUAGAUCGAGUUAUAGGCAAAAGUUGGUGCAAAAAUGAGGACAAUUUUACAUUUUCUCAAACAGGGUAUGGAACUUGCUUCCUCGAAUAACUUCUGGCACAGAGAUCUGAGGGCAUGGCCGUCCAAGAAGAAAAUAUAGCCAUUGUUGCCAUCUAUCGACCACAGGUUAAAGAUUGGAGAUCCGUUGGAUACCGACCGAGUUAUACACAAAACUUGGUGCAAAAAUGAGGAAAAUUUUACAUUUUCUCAAACAGGAUGUGGAACUUGCUUCCUCGAAUAACUUCUGGCACAGAGAUCUGAGGGCAUGGCCGUCCAAGAAGAAAAUGUAGCCAUUGUUGCCAUCUAUCGACCACAGGUUAAAGAUUGGAGAUCCGUUGGAUAUAGAUCGAGUUAUAGGCAAAAGUUGAUGCAAAAAUGAGGACAAUUUUACAUUUUCUCAAACAGGGUAUGGAACUUGCUUCCUCGAAUAACUUCUGGCACAGAGAUCUGAGGGCAUGGCCGUCCAAGAAGAAAAUAUAGCCAUUGUUGCCAUCUAUCGACCACAGGUUGAAGAUUGGAGAUCCGUU
Anopheles funestus (African malaria mosquito) is the source of this 1944-nucleotide long non-coding RNA. RefSeq lists it as uncharacterized. The record is from RefSeq and is a predicted model, not a curated record. The transcript has 6 exons. NCBI's taxonomy places the organism in Eukaryota, Metazoa, Arthropoda, Insecta, Diptera, Culicidae.